RNAcentral lists this ribosomal RNA (484 nucleotides) under Corynebacterium sp. 7PE.3. Its description in RNAcentral is "bacterial SSU rRNA". It matches the Rfam family "Bacterial small subunit ribosomal RNA", at positions 72 to 572 of the family's 1533-position model. Lineage: Bacteria; Bacillati; Actinomycetota; Actinomycetes; Mycobacteriales; Corynebacteriaceae. The record is from RNAcentral.
AGGCCUCUUCGGAGGUACUCGAGUGGCGAACGGGUGAGUAACACGUGGGUGAUCUGCCCUGCACUCUGGGAUAAGCCUGGGAAACUGGGUCUAAUACCGGAUAGGACCAUGCUUUAGUGUGUGUGGUGGAAAGUUUUUUCGGUGUAGGAUGAGCCCGCGGCCUAUCAGCUUGUUGGUGGGGUAAUGGCCUACCAAGGCGGCGACGGGUAGCCGGACUGAGAGGUUGGUCGGCCACAUUGGGACUGAGAUACGGCCCAGACUCCUACGGGAGGCAGCAGUGGGGAAUAUUGCACAAUGGGCGCAAGCCUGAUGCAGCGACGCCGCGUGGGGGAUGACGGCCUUCGGGUUGUAAACUCCUUUCGCCAGGGACGAAGCGUUUUGUGACGGUACCUGGAGAAGAAGCACCGGCUAACUACGUGCCAGCAGCCGCGGUAAUACGUAGGGUGCAAGCGUUGUCCGGAAUUACUGGGCGUAAAGAGCUCGU